Molecule: transfer RNA, 72 nt
Filed under: Enterospora canceri
Lineage: Eukaryota; Fungi; Microsporidia; Enterocytozoonidae
Rfam family: tRNA
About the family: Transfer RNA (tRNA) molecules are approximately 80 nucleotides in length. Their secondary structure includes four short double-helical elements and three loops (D, anti-codon, and T loops).
Source: Rfam by way of RNAcentral
GAGCACGUGGCGCAAUGGUAGCGCAGUAGUCUACGGAGCUGAAGGUUGUGGGUUCAAAUCCCGCCGUGCUUG